Molecule: ribosomal RNA, 504 nt
Filed under: uncultured bacterium
Lineage: Bacteria
Description: bacterial SSU rRNA
Rfam family: Bacterial small subunit ribosomal RNA
Source: RNAcentral
CGCUGGCGGCGUGCUUAACACAUGCAAGUCGAACGGGCGAUUGAAAGCUUGCUUUGAUGAGCCUAGUGGCAAACGGGUGAGUAACGCGUAGGCAACCUGCCCUCAGGAUGGGGACAACGGCCCGAAAGGACCGCUAAUACCGAAUGAUGUAUCGGGAUCGCAUGAUACUGAUACCAGAGGCGGAGCAAUCCGUCACCUGAGGAUGGGCCUGCGUCUGAUUAGGUAGUUGGUGAGGUAACGGCCCACCAAGCCGACGAUCAGUAGCCGGUCUGAGAGGAUGAACGGCCACAUUGGGACUGAGACACGGCCCAGACUCCUACGGGAGGCAGCAGUGGGGAAUCUUCCGCAAUGGGCGAAAGCCUGACGGAGCAACGCCGCGUGAGUGAAGAAAGGUCUUCGGAUCGUAAAGCUCUGUUGUCGGGGACGAAGGGGCAGAUCAGGAAAUGGGUCUGCUUAGACGGUACCUGACGAGGAAGCCACGGCUAACUACGUGCCAGCCGCAGC